RNAcentral lists this long non-coding RNA (269 nucleotides) under Zostera marina. Its description in RNAcentral is "long non-coding RNA (ZMAR_LNC000189)". Lineage: Eukaryota; Viridiplantae; Streptophyta; Magnoliopsida; Alismatales; Zosteraceae. The record is from RNAcentral.
UGGACUUUGAAGUAGAAGCCAUCUACGUCAUGUCGAGUCCGGAAGUCUUCAAAGUCUUAUUCAGUUUCUUCAUAUAUGAUUUCAUAGCAUUGAACUUCUUCUUAUAUUUGGAGACGUCUUUCUGACUCUCGUUACACUUAUUCUGAAAAUGAAAACAAAAAUGAGUUCGAUAAUCAACAAAAUUAUUGAAAUAUAUUGUAAAUACCUCCAAUUCUUUGAAUUUUUCCGUCCAAACUGCAUCUGUUGUUGCAUCAGUAGAAUCAAACUGC